UUGUGUACAAAUCGACUUGUGAAUGGCCUGCAGAAUGGAACCCAGGGACUGCCUGCACUUUGAAUUUGUAAGAUUCAGCUGUGAGUUGGUUCAAGUUCAAGUUGUGGCAAAAGACUGAGAAAAGAAAUAGGACAAAGAUAAUGAUCUCAUGAACUAAUGGAAGAAAAGCUCUCCAUACUUGUGGCUACAGAGUAGAAAGAUGAAGAAUUGAGGUCUCCAACUAUUUAUCCAACACCAUUUGGAAGAUAUGGAUGUUUGUAUAACCUCUGGGAAAUUUCUGCUAAUAUUUAAUAAUUGCAUAAAUAAACUUGACUCUUGAAAAAUUA
This is a long non-coding RNA of Rhincodon typus (whale shark), 326 nucleotides long. RefSeq lists it as uncharacterized. The record is from RefSeq and is a predicted model, not a curated record. NCBI's taxonomy places the organism in Eukaryota, Metazoa, Chordata, Chondrichthyes, Orectolobiformes, Rhincodontidae. The transcript is spliced from 2 exons.